This 463-nucleotide long non-coding RNA is filed under the name Panax ginseng (ginseng). RNAcentral's name for it is "long non-coding RNA (PGIN_LNC010936)". Lineage: Eukaryota; Viridiplantae; Streptophyta; Magnoliopsida; Apiales; Araliaceae. The record is from RNAcentral.
AAAAAUCCUAUGGAGAGGAUUCUACCCAUUUAAUUAUUUUAUUUACUAAUUAUUGUUAUCAUCAAAAUAAAACUAAAAGUUGGAGACCCAACAAUCUCCCCCUUUUUGAUGAUGACAAUCAACUAAAAAUAUUUUUCAUAAAAGCUCCCCCUCAAUUUAUGCAAUCAUAAAAAAUUUAAAAUUUUUGAAAAAACUAACAUGCAACAAUAUAUAAAUUAACAUGCAACAAUAUAUAACAGUUAUUUUUUUCUCCCCAAUAAUAUUUUUCUUCUCCCCCUUUGUCAUCAUAAAAAAUGGGGAAAAGAGUAGAAUAAAUUAUUUUUCAGAACCUGCAGAAGAAGAGAUUAGAAAAAAAAAUAUUCUUUUUUUAAAAAAAUUGUUGCUUCCUGCAUGGUUUGAAUUUGUGUGGUUGCCUUUGAUUGACCAAAACUACUAUACAAGAAUGAAGAUUAUUUACCGUUAG